RNAcentral lists this long non-coding RNA (371 nucleotides) under Apteryx rowi (Okarito brown kiwi). RNAcentral describes it as "lncRNA (ENSARWG00000000646.1)". The record is from RNAcentral. Lineage: Eukaryota; Metazoa; Chordata; Aves; Apterygiformes; Apterygidae.
GAUCUUUGAUGACAAAUUUCCUCUGUGUUUUCAUAUGGCUUUAUCAGAAUUUGGAGAGGCUUCCAGAUUACUCAUGUAACUUGUGAGAGAUGCUUAAUCUGCAGAGGAAAUAAUCAGCCCAGCUGGGUCUUGGCACUCGCCUUCCUGCCUCUCACCUCUGGCGUUUGGAAGCCAGGCCCGAGAGCCCGCUGAGGAUGCGGAGGAGGCAGCAGUGGGAAUAGACGCCGCCGUUGCACCGCGGUGAGUCUGUCUCCAGGAUACUCUGUCAGGCAUCUUCAGGGUGCUUUCUGAGAGCGUUUGGAAAACUUGGAGAACAGCUCAAGAAUCUGGUUAAUUAACUUUACGCUGGUAAUCAGAAGAUUGGUUAUUGG